AGAGGCUUCCGGCGCUGGGCCCGGCCGCUGCAAGCCUUGUUGGGUCAGUGUGUGGGAAGUCGCCAAGGUGGAGUUUGAGGCGGUCGGCCUCAACCAUGAGGGCUGUGUGAGCGGCAGGCUGGCCGUGAGCCUUCCAGGGAGUGCUGGGCGGCCUGGUGCCCUGGCUGAGGGCAAGCGGCCACCCUGAGACACCCAAAGACUGGCUGACACAAGAUCUUGUGCUGGUACUGGUGGCUGAAGGCUGUGCAGUGGUGCGGACACAGGUUCAGAGCUCCCAAGUGGACCAAGGCUCUGAUACUGGCUGCCACCUGCCUGGGAGCAGACUCAUAGAGGCCAGCGCAGGGCAGCAGGACAGCGCCCUCAGCAGUGAUGAGGAGUCUCUCCAUGAAGGCUGUCCCUCAAGGCACUGCAGCAGGCCACCGUCGCCCUUGUCAUUGGGAGCACCGUGAGAAUCCCGAGGAACACUUCAAUGUCCAGGUGUGAUGAUGUCAAGCCACCACAAGCCAGGAGGGAAGUGCCUGCUGGGGCCAAGACAGCAGGUGAAGCAGAACCCUUAAGCCUCAGCUCUUCACCCCUGGACGAAGGAGGUGUUUCUUGGCGGACAAACUCGGGAGACUCACCAGAAAAGACCUUGAUAGAUGAUGCAAGUUUUGCUCGCUGGAGACCACAAGAGCGUUCACUCGUGCCUCACAGUGUGGGUGAGGAGAGCAGCCUGGACCAGCUCCCAAGAGAUAUGUUUAACAGUGAGUCAUGCACACAGGCAGGAAGCAGCACUACAGUCACCAGGAGACAUUUUACAUAAAACUGGCAACAUAAUACUGCUGCUGGCCAGAAUGGAGGUCAGGCUUAAGCAGGAUCCCAGCAAAGUGCUCUCUUUACUUCUUUUUGUGAUUUUGAAAACACUUCAGCAGGCGAGGGGAACGCUCAAGAGAAAGUGUCAUUUCUAUGCAAACCUUCCUGCAGGGGUGAGCUGAAAGGUGAAAAUGUAGUUACCACGACUCCUUGGAGAAGAGAGACACCAUUAGUAGUUUGUCUGGUGAGGAAAGCUUCAACAGUCAUGCUGCUUGUACAGGGGAGAAGACUUCAGUGUUGUCCUCCAAGCCUCUUUGCAACGGGUACUCUGGAUCAAGCAGCAGACCAAGUGUCUUGCAUGUGUGUGUGUGUGUGUGUGUGUGUGUGUGUCUGGCUGGUGACCGAGUACAAUGCUUUACAUCUUUCAGGGAAGGACACAUGAUCUCCCUUCCAUCACACUUGCACAUUCUGCCUGAUUCUUCUCUUUCCUCCUCAUGGCCUUCAACGUUUCCCAAAAGAAAGUCUUCACUAGAAGCAAAGUUACUAAAAAUCACAGUAUAUUAUUAUAAAUAACUUUUAUUUUUACUUACAGAGCCAGAUGUCUUUCUAUGUACCUGAGAUGAAUUAUUAUUAUAUUUUUUACAACAAAGGAGACAGUUCAAGGGCAUAAAAAAUAAUAAUGAAAAAAAAGCCCGCUACUUGCUGCUCCUGAAUGGAGUACAGAGGAAUGACCAUAAAGAGAGGUCAAUUUCGGGAGGAGAGAUGUCCUGAUACCCUCCUCUUGAAAGAGUUCAAGUCGUGGGCAGGAGGAAAUACAGAUGAAGGAAGAUUGUUCCAGAGUUUACCAGCGUGAGGGAUGAAAGAGUGAAGAUGCUGGUUAACUCUUGUAUAAGGGGUUUGGGCAGUAUAGGGAUGAGCUUGAUUAGAAAGUCAUGUGAGGCAAGGCCGCGGGAGGGGGGGAGGCAUGCAGUUAGCAAGUUCAGAAGAGCAGUCAGCGUGAAAAUAUCGAUAGAAGACGGAAAGAAAGGAAAUUUAUUUAUAUGUAGCCAUAGCAGUUGAAGUGGUAGUAGUAGUAGUAGCAGUAGCAGUAGUAGUAGUAGUAAUAGUAGUAGUAGUAGGGAACAACAGCAGAAAUAGCAGUAAUAUAGUAGUAGUAAUAAUUGUAGUAGUAGUAGUAGUAGUAGCAGCAGAAAUAGCAGUAAUGAUUUAAGUAUUGGUACAGUGAAACCAUUUUAGCUUCCUUGGGUCCUGUCCUCCCCUCCACCUUGCCACACAAUCCCAACACCUGUCCCCUCCUCUCAUGUGCUAGCUACAGGCAACACAUGAAAGGAAAAAAUAGAUGUUGGGACUGUGUGGCAGAGCAGAGCGGAGGAAAGGACCUUUGAUGAACCAACGCCCCAAUGGACUCGCUAAAAUGGUUUCACUUUAGUAGUAAGCCAAGUCGAUAUUGCAUGCAUGUGGGUUGCAUAUGCUUAG
Long non-coding RNA from Eriocheir sinensis (Chinese mitten crab), 2268 nucleotides. RefSeq lists it as uncharacterized. The transcript is spliced from 4 exons. NCBI's taxonomy places the organism in Eukaryota, Metazoa, Arthropoda, Malacostraca, Decapoda, Varunidae. The record is from RefSeq and is a predicted model, not a curated record.